Long non-coding RNA from Arachis duranensis, 1214 nucleotides. RefSeq lists it as uncharacterized. The record is from RefSeq and is a predicted model, not a curated record. Lineage: Eukaryota; Viridiplantae; Streptophyta; Magnoliopsida; Fabales; Fabaceae. The transcript is spliced from 4 exons.
CACUUGAAAUCAAUAAGAUUGAAUUUCCCUGCCUUUCUAUGUGUGAGAUUGGAGAUUUUCAAUGUAAUCAUUUUUAGACUUGAUUUGCUUAUUGUUAACUCUUGUGUUUUGGCUUUAACCAUUCUUCGGAAGAUUGCAACAAAAAGUUUUCCCUUAUCUUCUUAAGCUUUAGUAGGAUUCAGAAAGCUCUGACCCCUCCAUUAGGAAGACUGCAAAAGGAUGCUCAUUACUUCCUCAGGUGGUCUUUAGCAUUCCUUUAUAUAUUUCAAAAGCGAAUUGAAAGCUUUGAAAGUAAAAUCAUAUAUUGGAAGGAUUUUAUUAUUGCUUUGAAACACGAUACAAACAAUGCAUGAAUGAAUCUUUCACCAAUUAAAUUGGCAAAGGGUUGAUGAAGCUUAAUGAUUUGUCCAGAAGGAGCACGCUAAGCUCCAAAGAACUCGUGACAUCAGUACUAGCCAAUCUUAUCAAAGGUUUCUUUCCAAGAAACGUUAUAAGAUACUUUUGGCAGAAUUAGCUUCAUUGAAAGAAUUUGUGAACUUUAUCCUGUAUAUUGGAAAAUGGAUAGAUCAGAUACAUCUGGGUUUGUUAGUGGCGGAGGCUGUAUGCUGAUAUAUCUUUUCCCAGUGAUAAACUUCUAAAGGUAUGUCGAUUUUCUAGUAGCUAUGCGGUGACCUGCUUUGCUACCUCAACCUUCUAUUAGCUGUAUUACACGACAUCUGGAUAAUGGAUUUAAACAAGAAAGCUGCACAAUCUCCUUAUGAUGCUGAACUUAGGAAAAAUGAUAACUUCGGUGAUACUACAUUAUGCUUGAAUGUCAUUGGAUUUGGAGAAACCAUGACUAAUUAUAGAUGUACAAAGAGCAAUCUUGGGCCCAAUCCCAAUGGCAUAUGAUGAUGACUACAACAAUUUGGGGUUUAAUAAGAAGAAAAAUUGUUGAGUGAACAAGUGUUUUUAUAUUCAAGUUUUUAGAAGACUUUAUGUAUUGUUUUUAGUGUUGAAGUGUCUAUAUAUAUUUUUUUGGUAGGGUUGACAUAAUCAUAAGUAUUAUCAAAGUUCUAGUGGCAUCCAUUUACACUUCUUAGACGAUUAUUUAGAUGAGUAUGAGUAGGUUAUUUAAUUACUUUACUUUGAAUAUUUUGUAUUAUUAGCGGAUUGCAAUUUAAACGAAUGUAAGUCUAAGUUUAGUUAUUUAUUUUGUCUUGAGUCUUUAUGUU